GGUGUUCUUCCCGAUAUCUACACAUUCCACCGUUACACCGGGAAUUCCAGUCUCCCCUACCGCACUCCAGCCCGCCCGUACCCGGCGCAGAUCCACCGUUAAGCGAUGGACUUUCACACCGGACGCGACGAACCGCCUACGAGCCCUUUACGCCCAAUAAUUCCGGAUAACGCUUGCACCCUACGUAUUACCGCGGCUGCUGGCACGUAGUUAGCCGGUGCUUAUUCGAAAGGUACACUCACCCGAAGGCUUGCUCCCGAUCAAAAGCGGUUUACAACCCGAAGGCCGUCAUCCCGCACGCGGCGUCGCUGCAUCAGGCUUGCGCCCAUUGUGCAAUAUUCCCCACUGCUGCCUCCCGUAGGAGUCUGGGCCGUAUCUCAGUCCCAAUGUGGCCGGUCGCCCUCUCAGGCCGGCUACCCGUCGUAGGCUCGGUGGGCCGUUACCCCGCCGACUACCUGAUAGGACGCGACCCCAUCCCAUACCGAUGAAAUCUUUCCCGACACCCCAUGCGAGGAG
Molecule: ribosomal RNA, 516 nt
Filed under: uncultured Bifidobacterium sp.
Lineage: Bacteria; Bacillati; Actinomycetota; Actinomycetes; Bifidobacteriales; Bifidobacteriaceae
Description: partial 16S rRNA
Source: RNAcentral